Molecule: long non-coding RNA, 148 nt
Organism: Octopus sinensis (East Asian common octopus)
Lineage: Eukaryota; Metazoa; Mollusca; Cephalopoda; Octopoda; Octopodidae
Exons: 4
Source: RefSeq, a predicted model, not a curated record
UGCAAAGGGAUCAUUUUGUUUUAUUUUUGCCUGAAUUAUUUUUCUCGUGAAUUGUUUGCCCCUGUAUCGAGAUUAUUUCCAUACUGGUGGCUGCAAUCAUUUCAGCGCAAAACGAAUCAGCUGCAGCGCAGAUUUCAAAACAAUAGGU